CCUACGGGAGGCUGCAGUGGGGAAUAUUGGACAAUGGGGGCAACCCUGAUCCAGCCAUGCCGCGUGUGUGAAGAAGGCCCUCGGGUUGUAAAGCACUUUCAGUGAGGAAGAACGCCUGGUGGUUAAUACCCAUCAGGAAAGACAUCACUCACAGAAGAAGCACCGGCUAACUCCGUGCCAGCAGCCGCGGUAAUACGGAGGGUGCGAGCGUUAAUCGGAAUUACUGGGCGUAAAGCGCGCGUAGGUGGCUUGAUAAGCCGGUUGUGAAAGCCCCGGGCUCAACCUGGGAACGGCAUCCGGAACUGUCAAGCUAGAGUGCAGGAGAGGAAGGUAGAAUUCCCGGUGUAGCGGUGAAAUGCGUAGAGAUCGGGAGGAAUACCAGUGGCGAAGGCGGCCUUCUGGACUGACACUGACACUGCGGUGCGAAAGCGUGGGUAGCAAACAGGAUUAGAUACCCUAGUAGUC
Molecule: ribosomal RNA, 465 nt
Filed under: Vreelandella stevensii
Lineage: Bacteria; Pseudomonadati; Pseudomonadota; Gammaproteobacteria; Oceanospirillales; Halomonadaceae
Description: partial 16S ribosomal RNA
Rfam family: Bacterial small subunit ribosomal RNA
Source: RNAcentral